This 253-nucleotide ribosomal RNA is filed under the name uncultured bacterium. Its description in RNAcentral is "partial 16S ribosomal RNA". It matches the Rfam family "Bacterial small subunit ribosomal RNA", at positions 524 to 776 of the family's 1533-position model. The record is from RNAcentral.
UACGGGGGGGGCAAGCGUUGUUCGGAAUUACUGGGCGUAAAGGGCUCGUAGGUGGCCAACUAAGUCAGACGUGAAAUCCCUCGGCUUAACCGGGGAACUGCGUCUGAUACUGGAUGGCUCGAGUUUGGGAGAGGGAUGCGGAAUUCCAGGUGUAGCGGUGAAAUGCGUAGAUAUCUGGAGGAACACCGGUGGCGAAGGCGGCAUCCUGGACCAAAACUGACGCUGAUGAGCGAAAGCCAGGGGAGCAAACGGG